GGGGCUUUAAUGGUUUCGACGGGGUGGUGAAAGCUGCUCGUUGAUUCAGGUCGAGAGAGAGUCAAAUCUCGUAAAUCAAGGCUCAAAACAAAUAAUAAAUGCAAACAACAUUGUAGCAUUCAAGCGUCAAGCAGUAGCUGCUUAAACUUUUUCGUGCGCUUCUCUCUAGUUUGACUCCGUUAAGGAUUAGAGAGCAACCCCCAACGGAUGCUCUAAUAAGUUCCCUUUGGUGGACUUGUUAGAAAAGACUUUACCAAAGCAUCCCACCGUUCGGGAUAAUGAACGGUCCCUGCCUUAAGGGUAAACGAGGCUAAACCUGUGAACGAUGCGGGGGUGAAUACCCAUUUCGGACAUGGGUUCAAUUCCCAUAAGCUCCAUAA
RNAcentral lists this transfer-messenger RNA (380 nucleotides) under Nostocaceae. RNAcentral's name for it is "Rivularia sp012033205 Standard tmRNA". It matches the Rfam family "transfer-messenger RNA". From Rfam's summary of the family: Bacterial tmRNA, also known as 10Sa RNA or SsrA, is named for its dual tRNA and mRNA-like properties. Its role is to liberate the mRNA from a stalled ribosome. To accomplish this part of the tmRNA is used as a reading frame that ends in a translation stop signal. The record is from RNAcentral. RNAcentral also lists the same sequence under 1 other name. Lineage: Bacteria; Bacillati; Cyanobacteriota; Cyanophyceae; Nostocales.